Molecule: long non-coding RNA, 1184 nt
Filed under: Pogona vitticeps (central bearded dragon)
Lineage: Eukaryota; Metazoa; Chordata; Lepidosauria; Squamata; Agamidae
Description: lncRNA (ENSPVIG00000014523.1)
Source: RNAcentral
CUGUUCCCAUUUUAUCCUGCUGUUAGGAUACAAUUUGGACAACCUGGUGACAGAUAGGUUGCCAUGUAUUAAAUUUAUUUAUCAAAGUUUGGUUUAAAAUAAGCCACAUUCUGCAUCAAAGAAACUACAUUCUAUAACCUAUACAAUUAUGCAAUCCAUAUAUCUGGGACGUAAUCGAUUCAUAUGAAUCGAUUACAAUAAUAAUUCUUAACGUGUCUUCAACAGAAACUAGUGAUAGAAAAUCUGUUCCCAUUUUAUCCUGCUGUUAGGAUACAAUUUGGACAACCUGGUGACAGAUAGGUUGCCAUGUAUUAAAUUUAUUUAUCAAAGUUUGGUUUAAAACAAGCCACAUUCUGCAUCAAAGAAACUACAUUCUGUAACCGAUACAAUUAUGCAAUCCAUAUAUCUGGGAUGCGGCAGCACAAGUUAUUUUGUAUUUUCGUUUAUUUAGGAUAAUUACAUUGGCUGUUGAAGAGGGACAAUGAACGAAGUACAAAAAAAGGAAUUUCAUGGGUGCCCCAGUUUCCAGUGAGAUAUGCUCCUGCUUAUAGAUCUGACAUCUGGAAAAAGCAUCUCACAUGCAACAAGCCAAGAUGUAACCUUUUCUGUAGUGAGAGUAACUAUCUUUUCUAUCUUGCUAAGACCUUUUUGUUCUCCCACUGUCUGAAGAAACAAUAUUUUGGUUCUAUUUUGUAUUUGUUGUGACUUGGGGAAAAGUAAAUUAUGGAAUGUUCUAUUAUGCUGCAGCAUUAUUACUGACAUGUCACUCUUGACAGUUCCUUCUACACUAUUUUUGCAAGUACAUUUUAAAAUAGCAAGGGGUGAAAAAGACUAGUCCAAGUCAGACCACUCUGAAAAAAGUAAAUUUGAACUCAAGACUGGAUUUAUCCAACAUAGGAAAAGUAAUGAUGUUGGCCUAUAAGUUUUCCCUUUCGGUAUAUAAGAGUAGAAACAAAUAGGCUGAUCACUUACCAGGUACUUGAUCAGGUGCACCGUUCACGUAUGUCUCAUCAAGAAUACUGUAUAUGCACCUACCUCUCAGUUUAGCCAUUUACACUAGCAGCAUGCUCAACAAGUCCACCAAUCUCUGAAGCACUCAGUGUCAGCACCCAAUCACCUUUGUUUAUGUUUAAGGGGAAUGAUAUUUCAUCACCAUCUUCUUCUUCUUCCUGUUAGAACUGCAG